GGCCUUGACAUACUAAGAACUUUCCAGAGAUGGAUUGGUGCCUUCGGGAACUUAGAUACAGGUGCUGCAUGGCUGUCGUCAGCUCGUGUCGUGAGAUGUUGGGUUAAGUCCGCAACGAGCGCAACCCUUUUCCUUAUUUGCCAGCGGGUAAUGCCGGGAACUUUAAGGAUACUGCCAGUGACAAACUGGAGGAAGGCGGGGACGACGUCAAGUCAUCAUGGCCCCUACGGCCAGGGCUACACACGUGCUACAAUGGUCGGUACAAAGGGUUGCUACCUCGCGAGAGGAUGCUAAUCUCAAAAAGCCGAUCGUAGUCCGGAUCGCAGUCUGCAACUCGACUGCGUGAAGUCGGAAUCGCUAGUAAUCGCGGAUCAGAAUGCCGCGGUGAAUACGUUCCCGGGCCUUGUACACACCGCCCGUCACACCAUGGGAGUUUGUUGCACCAGAAGUAGGUAGUCUAACCGCAAGGAGGACGCUUACCACGGUGUGGCCGAUGACUGGGGUGAAGUCGUAACAAGGUAGGCGUAGAUGA
This 532-nucleotide ribosomal RNA is filed under the name uncultured bacterium. Its description in RNAcentral is "bacterial SSU rRNA". It matches the Rfam family "Bacterial small subunit ribosomal RNA", at positions 977 to 1509 of the family's 1533-position model. The record is from RNAcentral.